GGCAAGAUGGCCGAGCGGUCUAAGGCGUGGGACUCAAGCGUAGCUUGCCUGUAUUCACGGGUUCUCAUCUUCGUAAGAAGGCCAGGGUUCGAGUCCCUGUCUUGUCA
This is a non-coding RNA of Mycena floridula, 107 nucleotides long. The record is from the annotation of a GenBank genome assembly. Lineage: Eukaryota; Fungi; Basidiomycota; Agaricomycetes; Agaricales; Mycenaceae.